Molecule: ribosomal RNA, 113 nt
Filed under: Pteropus alecto (black flying fox)
Lineage: Eukaryota; Metazoa; Chordata; Mammalia; Chiroptera; Pteropodidae
Source: RNAcentral
GUCUACGGCCAUGCCACCCUGAGUGAGCCCGAUAUCGUCUAAUCUCAGAAGCUAAGUAGGGUUGGUUAGUACUUGGAUGGGAGACCACCUAGGAAUACCAGGUGCUGUAGGCA